This 210-nucleotide long non-coding RNA is filed under the name Nicotiana benthamiana. Its description in RNAcentral is "long non-coding RNA (NBEN_LNC004198)". The record is from RNAcentral. Lineage: Eukaryota; Viridiplantae; Streptophyta; Magnoliopsida; Solanales; Solanaceae.
AUAAUGAGAAUAAUAAAGAUUCUCAAAAUAAUCUUUCACUUUAUGAAAGUAAUAUUUGACAUGAGAUUGUGUAAAGCACAUGAUUAUAAUCCAUUCCCUAAAGUGAAUGUGCUAAUUGUAAUAGAGCCCGUAAAUAUGAACACGCUCUUGAUGUAAUUAUGGAAAGAAUGUUCGUUGCCCUUGAAAUUUCGGGCAAGAACUAUAUGACAU